UUUAGACACUGUGCAAGGAAACACAAGGCAAGAGGCCAUCUUACUCCCUUUAGAGGCAGAGUUUGAAGAUUUGGCUGUGUCUUGGCCAGUGCUCUCAAAAGGAAAAUGUGAAAAAAGUGUAAUAAAAGGACUCUGUUUAAAUCCACAGAAGCUGAGAUCCAGCCCAAAGCAAGGCAGCAUGAAAAUAAGAAUAAUUCCUUUCAGAAAUAAUUAUUUCAUGGAGAUCAGAUGUGACACCCUGGUCCUGUUGGCACCAGUGAC
Molecule: long non-coding RNA, 261 nt
Filed under: Numida meleagris (helmeted guineafowl)
Lineage: Eukaryota; Metazoa; Chordata; Aves; Galliformes; Numididae
Description: lncRNA (ENSNMEG00000019141.1)
Source: RNAcentral